RNAcentral lists this long non-coding RNA (553 nucleotides) under Pongo abelii (Sumatran orangutan). Its description in RNAcentral is "lincRNA". Lineage: Eukaryota; Metazoa; Chordata; Mammalia; Primates; Hominidae. The record is from RNAcentral.
UCAAGACCACAACGGGAACACAGCCAAGUCAGAGAAGGAAGACCAAAAGCACCGGGGCCCUUUAUAUUAUUAAGCUGCUAAAUUAACUAAUCUUGGAAACUUCUAGACUCUACAAUUCUUGUUGUAUGAGAACUUCUAGCAACUAACCCUGGCAUGACCACCAGAAUCUGCAGGGCUGAGAGAGGAAAGAAAGGCAAAAGUGGAUGAAUGCAGCUGAAGAUGGUAUGGAACUCCUAUCACAUUCCAAGUGCUGUGUUGAUAUCUGGAGAUAUAGACAAGAUUGAAGCAGAUGCAGAGUCUUUCACAUGAAUAUUUGAAUCAGGUAGUAUGUUCCCCAAAUUAGCAAAGUAUCUCCCAGAUUUUUUCUUUGAUGAUAUAUUUGAAAUCCUAAUGCUGAAAGUUAAAUUAUCAGGGUUUUAAAACUGGAAGCAGUCAUUAUCAGAAUUUUAUAUACUAUUUAUUUUUAAGAACAUAAUUUGACUCUUUAAGUCUUAUAAUUUUAAGUAAAGUACUUUGGGCAGUCAUAAAUAAAGUAAUGGGCAGGUAUUUAGUA